Molecule: ribosomal RNA, 961 nt
Filed under: Clostridioides difficile
Lineage: Bacteria; Bacillati; Bacillota; Clostridia; Peptostreptococcales; Peptostreptococcaceae
Description: bacterial LSU rRNA
Rfam family: Bacterial large subunit ribosomal RNA
Source: RNAcentral
GCGUUGAAAAGCUCGGGGAUGACUUGUGGGUAGCGGUGAAAUUCCAAUCGAGCCCGGAGAUAGCUGGUUCUCCCCGAAAUAGCUUUAGGGCUAGCCUCAAGGUGAGAGAUACGGAGGUAGAGCACUGAAUGUCCUAGGGGGUAUUGCACCUACCGAAGACUAUCAAACUCCGAAUGCCGUCAUCUUAUACUUGGGAGUCAGACUGUGGGUGAUAAGAUUCAUAGUCGAAAGGGCAACAGCCCAGAUCGUCAGCUAAGGUCCCUAAAUGUAAGUUAAGUGGUAAAGGAUGUGGGAUUGCACAGACAACCAGGAUGUUGGCUUAGAAGCAGCCACUCAUUCAAAGAGUGCGUAAUAGCUCACUGGUCGAGUGAUCCUGCGCCGAAGAUUUCCGGGGCUAAAACUUACUACCGAAGCUACGGCAUCAGUAAUGAUGGGUAGGGGAGCUUCCCAUACGGGUUGAAGCAUGACCGUAAGGACAUGUGGACAGUAUGGGAGUGAGAAUGUUGGCAUGAGUAGCGAGAUGUGGGUGAGAAUCCCACAGGCCGUAAACCCAAGGUUUCCAGGGGAAGGUUCGUCCGCCCUGGGUUAGUCGGGACCUAAGCUGAGGCCGAAAGGCGUAGGUGAUGGACAACAGGUUGAUAUUCCUGUACUACCGAUAACCGUUUGAGAGAAGGGAUGACACAGUAGGAUAAGCUAAGCACACUGUUGGUUAUGUGUGCCCAAGCAUUGAGGCAGUCAAAGUAGGUAAAUCCGCUUUGAUAAUGCUGGGGUGUGAUGGGGAGCGAAAUUUAGUAGCGAAGUAGCUGAUUUCACACUGUCAAGAAAAGUCGCUAUCGAGGUUAAAGGUACCCGUACCGCAAACCGACACAGGUGGGUGAGGAGAGUAUCCUAAGGCCAGCGAGAGAACUGUUGUUAAGGAACUCGGCAAAAUGACCCCGUAACUUAGGGAUAAGGGGUGCCA